UACGUAGGGACCGAGCGUUGUCCGGAUUCAUUGGGCGUAAAGAGCUCGUAGGCGGCUGCUCAAGUCGAAUGUGAAAACUCGAGGCUCAACCUCGAGCCUGCAUUCGAUACUGGGCGGCUAGAGUCUGGUAGGGGGAUCUGGAAUUCCUGGUGUAGCGGUGGAAUGCGCAGAUAUCAGGAGGAACACCGGUGGCGAAGGCGGGAUCCUGGGCCAGUACUGACGCUGAGGGGCGAAAGCGUGGGGAGCAAACAGG
RNAcentral lists this ribosomal RNA (253 nucleotides) under uncultured bacterium. Its description in RNAcentral is "partial 16S ribosomal RNA". It matches the Rfam family "Bacterial small subunit ribosomal RNA", at positions 524 to 776 of the family's 1533-position model. The record is from RNAcentral.